AAGUUUGAAUAUGAAUUAAUCCUAUAAUUUAUUCGCGUAUGAAAAUAUACUUAACAGAUUUUAAGGAUAUGAAAAUACUUUUUACUUCAUAUGCAUAUGUAUAUACUUGUUUGAACUUUAAAGUCAAUGGAGAAAAUACACUAGAGGUUACAGGUGCUGCCGCUGCAAUGCAACAUGUCGUUUAUAUAGUAACUGAUAGAAACUAUCAACUAAAGUCUCAUCACUAAAUUUUCCUUAAAACUUAUUACAUUACUCACUACUACACAAUGCAUUAAAAAUAACAUAUUUGAAAGUAUAUUGUGUAUGCUAAUUUUUGAUGUGUACUUAAAUCUCAUUAUUGGUAUAUAAGUAAAGAACUUUAAAAACUAAAGAUAGGCAGUAAAACAAAUCAUACAUAAAAUUUACGUUGAAAUUAGUUUGAAUCAAAUUUGCGAUCUACAGUUUUCGUGUAAAACUAAUCAAAGAAAAACGAUUCAAAAUAACCAAUAUAUUUUGAAAUGAUGAUUAAAACUUGGCGACAAAUGAAAUAAAAAUAAACAAUGGGAAAAAGUUUUGUGUUGUUGACCAAUUAGAGACCAAAAGACUGGUUUUUGUAGUAAAAAGCAGAUUACGUACAAAACAAUUUAGCGGGUGGGUAUAUGGAAUUUAGGUUCAGAAUAUUUUCUUCCUUUUAGGAUUAGGGUUUGUCUUGCAAUUUAGGAUGUUAUUGGACAUCUGUUCAAUUAUGGAUAGGUGGGAAUAGGGUUUGAGUCUCACAUAUAAAUCCUUGAAUUUUCCACUACCAUGUACAUCUAUAUAUGAAACUUCAUAAAGUCCGAUUUAACAAGUUUGCAGUAUGGCGAGAUCUGUUUUGGCAUCUUAGAAACAAAGCUUAACACUAAUACAAAAAUAAAUAUUCGUCAAGAACAAGAGUAGAUGACAAACAAGCUAAAGGAGGAGGAAAACAACUAAGAUAACUAGCAAAAGAUAGCAUUUCAUACUACAAGUAUAAGGUAAAAAUAAUAAAGGCACAAAAAUACCCGGAGAAGGCAUUUCUUUUGGGUCUCUUCAGGUGUCUCACUCUUAAACUUCUUGAUCAUCUUCUCAUUCUCAAAGGAGGUGUCGCUCUAGUCUUUACCUCAUACAUUCUUUUGUUCAUUUUCUCUUUCUUAUUUUUUU
This 1158-nucleotide small RNA is filed under the name Arabidopsis thaliana (thale cress). RNAcentral's name for it is "ATSL228740". The record is from RNAcentral. Lineage: Eukaryota; Viridiplantae; Streptophyta; Magnoliopsida; Brassicales; Brassicaceae.